Ictidomys tridecemlineatus (thirteen-lined ground squirrel) is the source of this 529-nucleotide long non-coding RNA. RefSeq lists it as uncharacterized. The record is from RefSeq and is a predicted model, not a curated record. Lineage: Eukaryota; Metazoa; Chordata; Mammalia; Rodentia; Sciuridae.
ACCGAAGCCCCCCUCAGCGUUUCCCGAAGGACCAAUCCCGAGCUAGGGGCCGGCCCAGGGACGGGUAAAGGAGGGCCGGCCGGGCGCCGGGACGCGGGCCUGGACCUGGCAGGCGGGUUUCUAUGGCAGCCAGGAGGGAGGGGCGGGAAAGAGGAGGGCGUGCGGCGCAGGGACACCCAUUGCAGACGCUCCGGGAGGGGAUUCGGGCCUGCUGUAGAGAGGAUUCCUCCUAGAGGGUGAAUGGGAAGGGGCAUAGCAGCCGGAGGGUUGACAAAGGUCGUAUCAAUUUAACGUGAGCGGAGCCGCGCGUCAGCUCCAGAGCGAGGCUUUUGGUGUCUUUGGAAGACCGCAACACGGUAAUCCUCCCAACCGAUCGGGAGUUUCUGGCAAAGUAUUGUGACAGCUUCUACGGGAACCUUUUAGGAACUAAUAUUUCCUGUGAUGAAGAAACAUUUAUCUGAAAUUUAUUCUGCUUUCUUUCUUCUUUCUGUUAAAUUCUAGCAAAAUUAAACAGAAAGAAUUAAAACUA